RNAcentral lists this ribosomal RNA (672 nucleotides) under uncultured Bacteroidota bacterium. Its description in RNAcentral is "bacterial SSU rRNA". It matches the Rfam family "Bacterial small subunit ribosomal RNA", at positions 57 to 719 of the family's 1533-position model. The record is from RNAcentral. Lineage: Bacteria; Pseudomonadati; Bacteroidota.
GCAAGUCGCGGGAGAGCCGCUUCCCUUCGGGGAAGCGGGGAGACCGGCGGAUGGGUGAGUAACGCGUAGGUAAUCUGCCUAUAGCACGGGGAUAACAUCGCGAAAGCGGUGCUAAUACCGGAUAAUGCAGCGGGGCCGCAUGGCCACAGUUGUUAAACCCUUCGGGGGGCUAUAGAUGAGCCUGCGUGCCAUUAGUUAGUUGGUGGGGUCAGAGCCUACCAAGACGAUAAUGGCUAGGGGGUCUGAGAGGAUGAUCCCCCACACUGGGACUGAGACACGGCCCAGACUCCUACGGGAGGCAGCAGUGAGGAAUCUUGCGCAAUGGAGGAAACUCUGACGCAGCCACGCCGCGUGCUGGAAGACGGCCCUACGGGUUGUAAACAGCUUUUAGCAGGGAAGAACCCGGGUCUUUCGAGACCCGCUGACGGUACUUGGUGAAUAAGCACCGGCUAACUCCGUGCCAGCAGCCGCGGUAAUACGGAGGGUGCAAGCGUUGUCCGGAAUCAUUGGGUGUAAAGGGUGCGUAGGCGGAAGUCUAAGUCGGAGGUGAAAGUUUGCCGCUUAACGGUAAAAGUGCCUUCGAUACUGGAUUUCUUGAGUUCGGAAGAGGUUGGUGGAAUUCGUGGUGUAGCGGUGAAAUGCAUAGAUAUCACGAAGAACACCGGUGGCGAA